UANGCGGAGGAAAAGNANCUAACAAGGAUUCCCCUAGUNACUGCGAGUGAAGCGGGAAAAGCUCAAAUUUAAAAUCUGGUGNUCUUUGGCCGUCCGAGUUGUAAUUUAGAGAAGCGUCUUNCGCGCUGGACCGUGCACAAGUCUCCUGGAACGGAGCGUCGUAGAGGGUGAGAAUCCCGUCUUUGGCAUGGACACACCAGGGCUUUUGCGAUGCGCUCUCGAAGAGUCGAGUUGUUUGGGAAUGCAGCUCAAAAUGGGUGGUGAACUCCAUCUAAAGCUAAAUAUUGGCGAGAGACCGAUAGCGAACAAGUACCGUGAGGGAAAGAUGAAAAGCACUUUGGAAAGAGAGUGAAACAGUACGUGAAAUUGUUGAAAGGGAAACGCUUGAAGUCAGUCGCGUCGUCCGAGACUCAGCCUCGCCUCGGCUUGGCGUACUUCUCGGCCCGACGGGUCAGCAUCAAUUUCGCCUCUCGGAUAAUGGCGAGGGAAAAGUGACACCUUUACGGUGUGUUAUAGUCUCUCGUCGCAUGCGAGGGUCGGGAUUGAGGAACUCAGCACGCGCCCUCGGGCGUCGGGGCUUUCGCCCACGAUACGUGCUUAGGAUGUUGGCGUAAUGGCUUUAAACGACC
This 629-nucleotide ribosomal RNA is filed under the name uncultured Russulaceae. RNAcentral's name for it is "LSU rRNA". It matches the Rfam family "Eukaryotic large subunit ribosomal RNA", at positions 47 to 649 of the family's 3401-position model. Lineage: Eukaryota; Fungi; Basidiomycota; Agaricomycetes; Russulales; Russulaceae. The record is from RNAcentral.